Molecule: ribosomal RNA, 152 nt
Filed under: uncultured Enterobacteriaceae bacterium
Lineage: Bacteria; Pseudomonadati; Pseudomonadota; Gammaproteobacteria; Enterobacterales; Enterobacteriaceae
Description: partial 16S ribosomal RNA
Rfam family: Bacterial small subunit ribosomal RNA
Source: RNAcentral
CCUGAUGCAGCCAUGCCGCGUGUAUGAAGAAGGCCUUCGGGUUGUAAAGUACUUUCAGCGGGGAGGAAGGUGUUGAGGUUAAUAACCUCGGCAAUUGACGUUACCCGCAGAAGAAGCACCGGCUAACUCCGUGCCAGCAGCCGCGGUAAUAA